GGACGAACGCUGGCGGCGUGCCUAACACAUGCAAGUCGAGCGAGGAGAUUCCUCGGGAUGAUCCUAGCGGCGGACGGGUGAGUAACACGUGGGCAACCUGCCUCAUAGAGAGGAAUAGCCUUCCGAAAGGGAGAUUAAUACCUCAUAACAUUGCAGUUUCGCAUGGAACAGCAAUUAAAGGAGUAGUCCGCUAUGAGAUGGGCCCGCGGCGCAUUAGCUAGUUGGUGAGGUAACGGCUCACCAAGGCGACGAUGCGUAGCCGACCUGAGAGGGUGAUCGGCCACAUUGGGACUGAGACACGGCCCAGACUCCUACGGGAGGCAGCAGUGGGGAAUAUUGCACAAUGGGGGAAACCCUGAUGCAGCCAACGCCGCGUGAGUGAUGACGGCCUUCGGGUUGUAAAGCUCUGUCUUCAGGGACGAUAAUGACGGUACCUGAGGAGGAAGCCACGGCUAACUACGUGCCAGCAGCAGC
This 474-nucleotide ribosomal RNA is filed under the name uncultured bacterium. Its description in RNAcentral is "bacterial SSU rRNA". It matches the Rfam family "Bacterial small subunit ribosomal RNA", at positions 27 to 518 of the family's 1533-position model. The record is from RNAcentral.